This 85-nucleotide transfer RNA is filed under the name Felis catus (domestic cat). It matches the Rfam family "tRNA". Rfam says of the family: Transfer RNA (tRNA) molecules are approximately 80 nucleotides in length. The record is from Rfam by way of RNAcentral. RNAcentral also lists the same sequence under 3 other names. Lineage: Eukaryota; Metazoa; Chordata; Mammalia; Carnivora; Felidae.
GCCUGGGUGGCUAAGUGGGUUAAGCAUCUGACUUCAGCUCAGGUCAUGAUCUCAUGGUUCAUGAGUUCGAGCCCUGUAUCAGGCU